GCCUUCUUAGUAUAAGGGUAAUUACUCCUGUCUUGUAAACAGGAAAUGAAAGUUCGAUUCUUUCAGAAAGCUCA
RNAcentral lists this transfer RNA (74 nucleotides) under Crassvirales sp. RNAcentral's name for it is "tRNA-Thr". It matches the Rfam family "tRNA". Rfam says of the family: Transfer RNA (tRNA) molecules are approximately 80 nucleotides in length. Their secondary structure includes four short double-helical elements and three loops (D, anti-codon, and T loops). The record is from RNAcentral. Lineage: Duplodnaviria; Heunggongvirae; Uroviricota; Caudoviricetes; Crassvirales.